ACUUCCCUUUUUCCGGUCCGCCGGAUUAUGAAUGACGGCCGGCGCGAGUAUUUUCCACAUAAACUGGCUGUCGUUUUUCUCCUGGCCUCUGUGGAGGCGAGUGGUCUGCGGGCAGCAGCUCCCAGAGGCAGCCUUGGAAUUCCAGCUCGGGCUGGGCGGGAAGGCGCAGGCGGCCCAGGUCGCCGACACGCUCACGCACCCUCCCUGCCUGGCCGCGCCUCUGCGACCAGGUGACCCAAUGAAAGAAGAAAAUGAAAGCCAUAAAGAAAAGUCUUACAGAAGAAGAAUACCUGUACCUGGACUUUUCUCACCAAACAAAAGGAUGCAUCUUUCCUCUUCAUACAUCUGUAACUUUAUUUCUGUUAUCUUACUGUGACUGUAAAAUCUUUAAAAUUUGCUUAGUUGUCACCAAAGAAGUGAGUAGAGAUAGUUCACUACUAAGAGAUGACCUGAUCCAGGAUGUUGAAAUACAGAUUAUUUCAAGGCAGGAGCUCCCACCAAUAGUCCAAAAUUGCUGUUUGCCUGCAGUAGUAGAACGAUCAGACAAUUUUUGUAGAGCAGGACUUGCUGUUGUAUUGAGACACAUAAUCCAGAAAUCCUAUGAAGCAGACCCCUUAAAGAAGGAACUUUUGGAACUUCUGGGCUUUAAAAAGACUUGCUUGAAAGCCUGUGCUGAAGUUAGUCAGUGGACCAGGCUAUGUGAACUCACCAUCCCUUUGGCUAUUGAGAAUUUUCUCAGAGAAUCUUCUGACCAGCCCCCAACUAUACCUGUAGAAAUACUACAGCUAGAGAAAAAGCUUAGUGAGCCUGUUAGAGUGCAUAAUGAUGAUAAACUCCGCAGGCAGAAGCUCAAGCAACAGAAGGCUGAUGGAGUUGGGCCUCCCCUUACUAAGGGAAAGGCAAAGAGCAAGGUCCACACACAGGAAACAUCUGAAGGGUUGGAUUCUUCAUCCGAGAGUUUGGAACUGAAAGUGGCAUUCUCAAAGCUCACAGUACAGGAAGAACCAGCUACUACCAACAGAGAGCCUUCUCAUAUCAGAAAAGCAAAAGCCUCCGACCUUCCACCUCUGGAGCAUGUGUUUGCAGAAGGGCUUUACUUCACUCUGGCAGAUAUUGUGCUCUUGCCCUGUAUCCAUCAUUUCUUGGUAAUUAUCAGCAGGAAAUUUUCUGAGAAGCUGGUAGAAUUUCCAUUGCUAGCCUCUUGGUACCAGAGGAUUCAGGAAGUGCCAGGAGUAAAAACAGCAGCUUCUAAGUGUGGGAUCCAAUUUCUCCAUUUACCAAAAUUGUUGACAACCUCAACUGAACAGCAUCCAAACUUAUGUGAAGUCCCAGGUGUAGAAGAGCAAAGCGAUCCUUUAUUUAUAGGAGGACCAAGACCAACCAUGGCCAAGUUAAUGGAAGAGGGCAUUGAAGUGAUGUUUUCUCCCCACCCUUGCCCUACUUGGACUCUUGAUUGGAAUGUUCUCCCUGCAGCAGUCAGCCCAAAGGAAGGUAAAAUGUCCAGUGAUCGAGCUUUGAGGAAGCAGCAACAGUUGAACAACCUUGUCUAUGUGGUAACAAAUCAGGCCAAACCUGGUGACAGAAUUGUGGAUUUCUGCAGCGGUGGGGUAUUUUAUCUCUCCUUUCAUCCUUUUUAGUCUUUCUAAGAUUAUGAGACUUUUCUAUAUUACAUUCAAGGUCAUGUUUUUAUUUGGCAAGAUUGUGGUUUCAGAAUGAGGAAAAGCUGUGGGGACCAAAACUAACUUGUUUGUCUUACUGACUUUUUCAGGGCCAUGUUGGAAUUGUCCUUGCUCACAUGCUGCCAUCAUGUCAGGUAAAGCCAGAAUAAGAGAUAAAAGGAAAUAUUUUAAAAUUAUACAGUUCAGCUAGCCAAAUUUGGUUUAUCCCGCUCUUGGAGUUUCUAAUCACUCACCCAAGUCAAAUAUGUGGCACAGGCAUUGUCUUUUCUUUGAAAUAAACUUCCAAGACUUAGAAUCUUAAGGAAAGAAAAGUAAAGUAAGAUCAUAAAACAGUUACCAAUUUUUGAAAGAGGUUUAUAGGUUUAAGUAAUUUUUCAAAGAAGUAGCUAUUUUAUUGCUAAAUAAAAUAGUUAUGAUUCAACUAGUUUAAUUUUCAAUAUAAUUUUAAAUGGAAAUAUUGACCUCUGAAACUUGCUGAGCAUGUUCUUUUGGUAUCUUGAUUUUGAUCCAUUGCAUCAAAAUUAUAACAAUAGCAAAAUUUUUUAAAGC
Molecule: small RNA, 2228 nt
Filed under: Pan troglodytes (chimpanzee)
Lineage: Eukaryota; Metazoa; Chordata; Mammalia; Primates; Hominidae
Description: retained intron
Source: RNAcentral